CCUACGGGGGGCAGCAGUGAGGAAUAUUGGUCAAUGGACGAGAGUCUGAACCAGCCAAGUAGCGUGAAGGAUGACUGCCCUAUGGGUUGUAAACUUCUUUUAUAAAGGAAUAAAACGAGGCACGUGUGCCUUUUUGCAUGUACUUUAUGAAUAAGGAUCGGCUAACUCCGUGCCAGCAGCCGCGGUAAUCCGGAGGAUCCGAGCUUUAUCCGGAUUUAUUGGGUUUAACGGGAGCGUAGCUGGGUUGUUAAGUAAGUUGUGAAAGUUUGCGGCUCAACCGUAAAAUUGCAAUUGCUACUGGCAGUCUUGAGUACAGUUGAGGUAGGCGGAAUUCGUUGUGUAGCGGU
Molecule: ribosomal RNA, 347 nt
Filed under: uncultured bacterium
Lineage: Bacteria
Description: partial 16S ribosomal RNA
Rfam family: Bacterial small subunit ribosomal RNA
Source: RNAcentral